Molecule: ribosomal RNA, 444 nt
Filed under: uncultured bacterium
Lineage: Bacteria
Description: partial 16S ribosomal RNA
Rfam family: Bacterial small subunit ribosomal RNA
Source: RNAcentral
CCUACGGGUGGCAGCAGUGGGGAAUAUUGGGCAAUGGAGGAAACUCUGACCCAGCAAAGCCGCGUGAAUGAAGAAGGUCCUCGGAUUGUAAAGUUCUUUAGUCAGGGAAGAAUAAAAUGACGCUACCUGAAGAAUAAGCUCCGGCUAACUACGUGCCAGCAGCCGCGGGAAUACGUAGGGAGCAAGCGUUGUUCGGAAUGACUGGGCGUAAAGGGUGCGUAGGGGGUUAUACAAAUUAGAAGGUGAAUACACAGGGCUUAACCCGGGUGCUGCUUUUAAAACUGUAAGACUUGAGUGCAGUAGAGGUGAGUGGAAUUCGUGGUGUAGCGGUGGAAUGCGUAGAUAUUAGGAGGAACUCCAGAGGCGAAGGCGGCUAACUGGACUGCAACUGACGCUGAGGCACGAAAGUGUGGGGAGCAAACAGGAUUAGAUACCCCAGUAGUC